Molecule: non-coding RNA, 83 nt
Organism: Gasterosteus aculeatus (three-spined stickleback)
Lineage: Eukaryota; Metazoa; Chordata; Actinopteri; Perciformes; Gasterosteidae
Source: Rfam
GUCAGGAUGGCCGAGUGGUCUAAAGCGCUGCGUUAAGGUCGCAGUCUCCCCUGGAGGCGUGGGGUCAAAUCACACUUCUGGCA